Lactuca sativa (garden lettuce) is the source of this 1068-nucleotide long non-coding RNA. RefSeq lists it as uncharacterized. NCBI's taxonomy places the organism in Eukaryota, Viridiplantae, Streptophyta, Magnoliopsida, Asterales, Asteraceae. The record is from RefSeq and is a predicted model, not a curated record.
UCAGCACUAAAAAUUAGAAGGUAUUUUGAAUCCUGGUAUCUCGCCUGUUAUCUCUCCUUAUUGGCCUUCUUCGGAACUGAUUUUUCUUUUGAAAACCAAUUAUUUCACCAAAAUUGAAGUUUAAAAGGCACACUAUUUGUAUUGUAUCCAUCAUCCUUAUACCCAAGUUACUCUACCCGUCUUCAACGCCGCCUUCCUUGGCCACCACCGAACUAACCACCGUCAUUGCGAUAUACUAUCGGCGUCCCUAUAUCUGACCUCGAAUCAACCUAGAUCUAAACAUUGCCCUCAAAUCCAACGAUUUCUCUGCCAUCAGGUUCGCUCAGUACCGCUGAUACUAGGUUGAGGUGAAUAUUUUUUUAAUGGAAUUCUAUCGAUCUCCGUUCUGGGUAAUGAUUGUUAUUUUUCCGUUUUGAUUUUGAAGACCAAACAGGGGAUGUGCUAAAGUGUCGCUGUGCUACUCUCUCACAAUAGGUAAUCAUACUUGUGUAUUUUUGUUUUCUCAUUUCCCAUUUUCACAAGUUCUCGAGCUUUUCAACAAGACAAAUAGAAUCAACAUGCUUUGUCAGGCUAUUUAUGUUUUAAUCAUUGAUAUUGUUAGUAUAAACUGAGACAAGGUUCAUAGUUGUUAUGACUUUAUUGAUUCAUGUGUGUUUGGUAGGAGUCGAAGAUUCAUGUGUAGGGUCAAUUGCAGAACUUUAGCGAUGUGUGUUUAGUCACAUACCAGUUUAUUACACGGUUUAAAAUGAAAAGGUGCAUAUGUGUUGGUAACCGUCACCCAUCCCCUAGGUUACAUUCUUAACUUUUCUGCCAUUUUUUUGUGUUCAAAUCUUGCUGUCAAAUGCAAGAAAUAGCAAUCUAUAUUCAUUUUUUGUGCUAAAUUGUUACUGUCAAAUUCAAAUCACUCACUAUCUAAUAAACCAGACUGGCUUAUUAUAUGAAUGAGAUUAGAAGGAGAGUAGGUAGCCUAAAGCUUCCAACAGGACCAUACGAAAUGUUAUAGCAAUAUACAAUAAUUAUUGUGUUAAAAUGCUGUUAUCUAAUGCAAAAAAUAGCAAUCUACAUUCA